GACGAACGCUGGCGGCGUGCUUAACACAUGCAAGUCGAACGGUGAAGCGCUUUCCUUUUUGGUUGGUGUGGAGGAGUGGCGAACGGGUGAGUAACACGUGAGUAACCUGCCCCCUUCUUCUGGAUCACCGCAUGAAAGUGUGGCUAAUACGGGAUAUUCUGCGCCUGCUGCAUGGUGGGUGUGGGAACGAUUGUGCCUUUGGGUGUUUUCGGUGGGGGAUGGGCUCGCGGCCUAUCAGCUUGUUGGUGGGGUGAUGGCCUACCAAGGCGGUGACGGGUAGCCUGCCUGAGAGGGUGGACGGUCACACUGUGACUGAGACACGGCCCAGACCCCUACGCGACGCAGCAGUGGGGAAGAGUGCACAAUGGGCUCAAGCCUGAUGGAGAGACGCCGCGUGAGGGAUGCAGGCGUGCGGGUUGUGACCCUCUUUCGCCAGUGAAGCAGGCCGGCUCCUGUUUGGUGGGUUGACGGUAGCUGGACAAGAAGCGCGGGCUAACUACGUG
Molecule: ribosomal RNA, 503 nt
Filed under: uncultured bacterium
Lineage: Bacteria
Description: partial 16S ribosomal RNA
Rfam family: Bacterial small subunit ribosomal RNA
Source: RNAcentral